GGAUGGGAAGAUGUAAGGAGGAAGACUGGAGUCAGAGGGAGACAGCAGGAUGGAAGCAAAGGUUGAAGGGAGACAGCAGGAUGGAAGAUAGAGGGGUGGGAGGAGGAUGAAGGGAUGGGAAGAUGCAGGGAUGGAAAACUGAAGUCAGGGAGGCAGCAAGCUGGAAGAUAGAGGGAUGGGAGGAAGGUGGAAGGAUAAAGAUAGAGAAAUAGGAAAGAUGAAAGAUGAAGCCAUGAAAGGGAGAUGGAGAGAUCUGAGAUAGAGGGAUGGGAGGAAGAUUGAGGGAUGGGAGAAAUUGAGAGGUGGGGAGAAAUGGAAGGAUGGAAGAUGACAAGGAUGGAAAAUAGCAGCUGGAGGGGCUGCAGAUAACCUGGGAACUGCCCUCAGCAGGGCCACAGCUGCAUUUGCCAGUGAAGAUGGGGAUGACAGAAAUCCCAGUCCCUCUGAUGCUGGUCCAGGU
This is a long non-coding RNA of Chiroxiphia lanceolata (lance-tailed manakin), 460 nucleotides long. RefSeq lists it as uncharacterized. The transcript has 3 exons. The record is from RefSeq and is a predicted model, not a curated record. NCBI's taxonomy places the organism in Eukaryota, Metazoa, Chordata, Aves, Passeriformes, Pipridae.